UUUAGAGUUUGAAUCAUGGCUCAGAUUGAACGCUGGCGGCAGGCCUAACACAUGCAAGUCGAGCGGAUGACGGGAGCUUGCUCCUUGAUUCAGCGGCGGACGGGUGAGUAAUGCCUAGGAAUCUGCCUGGUAGUGGGGGACAACGUUUCGAAAGGAACGCUAAUACCGCAUACGUCCUACGGGAGAAAGCAGGGGACCUUCGGGCCUUGCGCUAUCAGAUGAGCCUAGGUCGGAUUAGCUAGUUGGUGGGGUAAUGGCUCACCAAGGCGACGAUCCGUAACUGGUCUGAGAGGAUGAUCAGUCACACUGGAACUGAGACACGGUCCAGACUCCUACGGGAGGCAGCAGUGGGGAAUAUUGGACAAUGGGCGAAAGCCUGAUCCAGCCAUGCCGCGUGUGUGAAGAAGGUCUUCGGAUUGUAAAGCACUUUAAGUUGGGAGGAAGGGCAGUAAGYUAAUACCUUGCUGUUUUGACGUUACCGACAGAAUAAGCACCGGCUAACUCUGUGCCAGCAGCCGCGGUAAUACAGAGGGUGCAAGCGUUAAUCGGAAUUACUGGGCGUAAAGCGCGCGUAGGUGGUUUGUUAAGUUGGAUGUGAAAGCCCCGGGCUCAACCUGGGAACUGCAUCCAAAACUGGCAAGCUAGAGUACGGUAGAGGGUGGUGGAAUUUCCUGUGUAGCGGUGAAAUGCGUAGAUAUAGGAAGGAACACCAGUGGCGAAGGCGACCACCUGGACUGAUACUGACACUGAGUUCGAAAGA
This 760-nucleotide ribosomal RNA is filed under the name Pseudomonas putida. Its description in RNAcentral is "bacterial SSU rRNA". It matches the Rfam family "Bacterial small subunit ribosomal RNA", at positions 1 to 760 of the family's 1533-position model. Lineage: Bacteria; Pseudomonadati; Pseudomonadota; Gammaproteobacteria; Pseudomonadales; Pseudomonadaceae. The record is from RNAcentral.